This 253-nucleotide ribosomal RNA is filed under the name uncultured bacterium. RNAcentral's name for it is "partial 16S ribosomal RNA". It matches the Rfam family "Bacterial small subunit ribosomal RNA", at positions 524 to 776 of the family's 1533-position model. The record is from RNAcentral.
UACGAAGGGGGCUAGCGUUGCUCGGAAUCACUGGGCGUAAAGCGCACGUAGGCGGAUUGCUAAGUCAGGGGUGAAAUCCUGGAGCUCAACUCCAGAACUGCCUUUGAUACUGGCGAUCUUGAGUCCGGGAGAGGUGAGUGGAACUGCGAGUGUAGAGGUGAAAUUCGUAGAUAUUCGGAGGAACACCAGUGGCGAAGGCGGCUCACUGGUCCGGUACUGACGCUGAGGUGCGAAAGCGUGGGGAGCAAACAGG